CCCGAGAGGACCUGGCACAGAGUACUUUUGUACUAUUGAUUGUAUAAUAAAGUCCUGAGGAGCUCCUUCGCGGGCCGGGCACUGAGGGAUUUUUGAUUCAGUCCAUCCGGUAUGUGAUUACUUGUGCUGUGAUGCAUUUCAUGUGAGCAUGUUUAUUAACAUGUUUUUAUUGUUCUACUCACUGGGCUAAUAUAGCUCACCCCUCUCCCUUAACCCCAGUCUUGCAGGAUCAGAGUACAGGGGGAGUUCAGCAGAGUACAUGAAGAGUAAAGAGUUGUGUAAUAGCAUAGUGUGGACAUGUAAUAUUGUAAAGAGAUGUUUUAGUAUUGUAUAGAGUAUAGUAGUGUGCUUGACCCAUAUGUUUUGUAAAUCCCUUUUUGUAUACAUGGUCUGUUUAUGUAAAUGUAUUUUUAUGA
Molecule: long non-coding RNA, 416 nt
Filed under: Manihot esculenta (cassava)
Lineage: Eukaryota; Viridiplantae; Streptophyta; Magnoliopsida; Malpighiales; Euphorbiaceae
Description: long non-coding RNA (MESC_LNC006916)
Source: RNAcentral